UGGGUCUGGAACAACAUGGGGGAGAGUAAAUUAUGACCAUUUUUAUUAUUUGGUAAAUUAACCCUUUGAAGAGCAGCCCUCCACGUACAUGAACAUUUGUGAGGCCACUGAUGAAGAACAGGUGGUGACUGGGAUGAAUGCUGGUCAGAGAGGAGAACUUCCUUUCCUCUAAACUGAUGCAGCAGUAGUUUUAAAGGAGGACGCUACCCUGGAUGAUGUAGAAGAAGUCACAUGCUGUGCUGAUGGGGCUUCUUCAUGACUACAUCAAUUAUGCUGAAGAGAUCAUGAAAGUUGACAGUGACACAUGAUUUGUAUUCAUGGACUAUGAAACAAACUGUAAGUGUAUAUUUUGUAAAAACAA
Long non-coding RNA from Carassius carassius (crucian carp), 361 nucleotides. RefSeq lists it as uncharacterized. The record is from RefSeq and is a predicted model, not a curated record. The transcript is spliced from 2 exons. Lineage: Eukaryota; Metazoa; Chordata; Actinopteri; Cypriniformes; Cyprinidae.